UAUUGCACAAUGGGCGCAAGCCUGAUGCAGCCAUGCCGCGUGUAUGAAGAAGGCCUUCGGGUUGUAAAGUACUUUCAGCGAGGAGGAAGGCGUUAAGGUUAAUAACCUUAGUGAUUGACGUUACUCGCAGAAGAAGCACCGGCUAACUCCGUGCCAGCAGCCGCGGUAAUACGGAGGGUGCAAGCGUUAAUCGGAAUUACUGGGCGUAAAGCGCACGCAGG
This 221-nucleotide ribosomal RNA is filed under the name Klebsiella aerogenes. Its description in RNAcentral is "partial 16S ribosomal RNA". It matches the Rfam family "Bacterial small subunit ribosomal RNA", at positions 362 to 575 of the family's 1533-position model. The record is from RNAcentral. Lineage: Bacteria; Pseudomonadati; Pseudomonadota; Gammaproteobacteria; Enterobacterales; Enterobacteriaceae.